Molecule: unclassified non-coding RNA, 322 nt
Filed under: Hevea brasiliensis (rubber tree)
Lineage: Eukaryota; Viridiplantae; Streptophyta; Magnoliopsida; Malpighiales; Euphorbiaceae
Source: RNAcentral
GGAGAAGCUUCCUCCUCCAUCCACCAAAUGUCAAUUAUCAUUCUUCUCUAUCUCGAACCCUAGCUUGUUCAUCGAUCGGAGAAAUCACCGUUAAGUUUCAGCUAAGAUGGGGAAACAACCAGUUAAGCUGAAAGCAGUUGUUUACGCUUUAUCGCCAUUCCAACAGAAGAUUAUGCCAGGUCUAUGGAAGGACCUUCCUGGUAAAAUCCAUCACAAAGUCUCUGAAAAUUGGAUCAGCGCUACUCUCUUGCUCGGUCCUCUCAUUGGCACAUACUCGUACGUGCAGCAUUUCCUGGAGAAGGAGAAGUUAGAACACAGAUAC